AGAAUCAACGCUGGCGGCGUGCCUAACACAUGCAAGUCGCACGAGAAAGUGGAGCAAUCCACGAGUAAAGUGGCGCACGGGUGAGUAACACGUGAAUAAUCUACCUCCGAGUGGGGAAUAACUGAGAGAAAUCUUAGCUAAUACCGCAUAACACUUACGAGUCAAAGCAGCAAUGCGCUUGGAGAGGAGUUCGCGGCCGAUUAGUUAGUUGGCGGGGUAAUGGCCCACCAAGACGAUGAUCGGUAUCCGGCCUGAGAGGGCGCACGGACACACUGGAACUGAAACACGGUCCAGACUCCUACGGGAGGCAGCAGUGGGGAAUUUUGCGCAAUGGGGGAAACCCUGACGCAGCAACGCCGCGUGGAGGAUGAAGCCCCUUGGGGUGUAAACUCCUUUCGAUCGGGAAGAUAAUGACGGUACCGAUAUAAGAACGCCCGGCUAACUUCGUGCCAGCAGUCGC
This 460-nucleotide ribosomal RNA is filed under the name uncultured bacterium. RNAcentral describes it as "SSU rRNA". It matches the Rfam family "Bacterial small subunit ribosomal RNA", at positions 26 to 518 of the family's 1533-position model. The record is from RNAcentral.